AUGAACAUCAUGCUGUGCUGCUGCUGAGUGCUUGUGGAUAAAUAAGGAUCUUUUUCUUUCUGUAAAAGAAGCUAAAAGGCUCCAUUCCUCACUUUGGCCCAUAUUAGAGAGACUCGGACAGUCCUGGAGCACGGGAUACUCUUGCUUUAUUCCUGCAUUCCUUAGGCUGGUUGUGGGGUGAGCUCCUGAACGCAGUGCCAGGGCCUGGCAGUGGGGCAUCCUCUGUGCUCACAGUUUGGGGUUUCUCCCUGCAAACAGGGCAGGGUGGUGCUGGUGAAACAGGUGCCCCGUUAGCACAGCUCUCGGUGCGUCGUUAAGAAUGGAUCUGGCGUUGCACCCUGAAGGGUCCCAGGACUGCGCACAAAAAGGGGCCGUGUUCUGCUGUCCUCUCUCAGGCUGGCAGCCCUCUUGAAGUUGCUCCAUGAGCGGGAUUAGGUGGAUUUGUCCCCAAAUAAACAGAACUCAGGAUGGUUUUCUAGAAGGGCUAACAUGGUGAUUCAUUGUGCUAUAAAGAACCCAAGCAGAGGCAGGCAAUGAGCUGGAGCCAUUCCUUUUCUACCACGCUUUAUGAGCCAUGAAUAUUUUGAUUCCUUUGGUGUCAUUGUUUGCGCGUAUCUGUAUCUGUGUCUGGUGUAACCCAAUGAAAAUAAUAUAUAUUUUUUCAAGCUCUGUGCGUGCUGUUGGCUGCACGCAGUGGGAAGGCAGUCCCAAAGGCGUUUGAUCAGGUUGUGCACAAGUGUCUCAGAGCUACAGCACCAGGAAUUAAGUUCCUUUAGUAACUCUGCUGGCUGCAAAGCCCUCAUUCCCAAAGCGGUGGUGGGCUGCAGCAUUGUGUUUGCAUCUCUUCUUUUGUUUUUUUUCCAUACAGUGUUCCCAGAUUAAACAUAUUACACACUAACUAACUGCAGCUUUUUCAGCCGAGCCUAACUUUUGGAUAAGCCAUCCCCUCUAUUGAUGCUUUCGGCACGACCAAACUAUAUGGAAAGCACCUCUGCAGAGACGCGCGCUUGUUUUGGACAGGCAAAACUCUAGAGGAAGCUUUAAAUUCUUUGCAGAAAUCUAAUUGUAUCGGGCAGAAGGAAAGAAUUUGCGUCGUGUUGACUUAUCUGUGCCUUCAUCCCUGGAGCUGAGCCAUUUGGUUCACCUCGCCGUGCCGUUUGCAUGCUUUAAAAACACGCUGUGUGCCCCGCGAGUGCUGCUCAGCACAGUGCUCGGAGGGCUGUAACAGUGCACAGAGGGAGCGAGGGCCGUCCUGCUGAAGGCUGUAUCAGAGGCUUGCAGGGAUGGAAGGCAGCAGCGUAGCUUUGUGUUACGAUGCGGGCAAAGGAGCAAAGGAGCAGGAACUGUGCCUUGAAGAUUCUCCCUGCGCCUUCAGGAGGAUGCUGGGCUGAGCCAAAAUCAAAGCGCUCUGCUGUGCUCGCGCUGUGCUGCUGAGGAGUUGGUUUCAGAGGAGUUCCCUCAGCCGGUCAGAGAUCUCAGCAUCUGUUGCAGCCGGGAUGCAUUCCUUGAUCGUUUCUGAGUCUGCCAUUAUUUUUCUGCCUGCCCAGUGUCCCAGGGACGUGAAACGAAGCCGCUGCGCUUUGCUGCCGAGCACUGAAACUCUGCACCAACAUUCAAUUUGAUCUCUCGGAACUGACUGCAAUAAAGUGGUUUCGUCAGCACACACUUGUGAUAAAAAGGCGACACGAAGAAAGCCAGCGAGCUGAAAGGCCCUGCGUUUUCCUGGGAAGACAAUAGGAUAUCUGGCUCUUUAUUUGUUUCGUGGAUUCCUUGUGCAGCCAUUUAAAUUCAGCCGAAGGCUCCAAAUGUCUAAACUUUAUCCUGGGCAUUUUAUUUAUUUUUUUUUCAGUGCUGGAAAGGAAUAGAGUUAAGUGUCCCAAGGGGAGUUUUAUAGAAAAUGCUAUGUGCAAUGUUAAUGAGUUGGGAAGGGGUCGUAUGUUUUUUCAUAUAGAGCCUAUGCAGGAACAAAUAUGGAACCGGAGGAGAAACCAUCUGCAGGGACCCAGUGAGGUGUGCCAGCGGGUGAUCCUGGGCUGCUGUCACCCCUAAAUGAUGAACAAAAGACUUCAAUCCCAAGAGCCCCCCGUGCCCCUGCAUGGCUCUGUGCUGGGCUGGGUGAAUAGCCGGGGCUGGAAGAAAUGACAAACUUCUUGGGUGCCACAAGAGAUUGCUUCAGCGUUACUGAUCCUCACUCUGCUCGUUACUGAAAAUGCAUCCAGCAGCUAUAUGGGUCAGACUGCUAAAUUUGUAGACACGGAGUGUCAGGAAGCCUUUUUGUCAACUUCGUACCGUUUAGUAUAUUUGUCCUCAAGUUCAAAGCAAUCCUGGCCCCAGACUUGUGAUAUUUUCUGCCCUUUCCCCUUUCUGUUGACUCAGGCCUCUUCCCUUUGAGGUCAACAUCAAAAUAAAGAUGUAUGUUUCCUCAGCCUG
This 2430-nucleotide long non-coding RNA is filed under the name Gallus gallus (chicken). Its description in RNAcentral is "lncRNA (ENSGALG00010019685.1)". The record is from RNAcentral. Lineage: Eukaryota; Metazoa; Chordata; Aves; Galliformes; Phasianidae.